Molecule: ribosomal RNA, 301 nt
Filed under: uncultured bacterium
Lineage: Bacteria
Description: partial 16S ribosomal RNA
Rfam family: Bacterial small subunit ribosomal RNA
Source: RNAcentral
CAGUAGCCGCGGUAAUACGCAGGGUGCGAGCGUUAAUCGGAAUUACUGGGCGUAAAGCGUGCGCAGGCGGUUUUGUAAGACAGGCGUGAAAUCCCCGGGCUCAACCUGGGAAUGGCGCUUGUGACUGCAAAGCUAGAGUGCGGCAGAGGGGGAUGGAAUUCCGCGUGUAGCAGUGAAAUGCGUAGAUAUGCGGAGGAACACCGAUGGCGAAGGCAAUCCCCUGGGCCUGCACUGACGCUCAUGCACGAAAGCGUGGGGAGCAAACAGGAUUAGAUACCCCGGUAGUCCCUGUCUCUUAUAC